UACGUAGGUGGCGAGCGUUGUCCGGAUUUAUUGGGCGUAAAGCGCGCGUAGGCGGCCCGAUAAGUCCGCUGUGAAAGUCAACGGCUCAACUGUUGGAUGCCGGUGGAUACUGUCGGGCUAGAGUACGGAAGAGGCAAGUGGAAUUCCUGGUGUAGCGGUGGAAUGCGCAGAGUAUCAGGAGGAACACCUAUAGCGAAGGCAGCUUGCUGGGACGUUACUGACGCUAAGGCGCGAAAGCGUGGGGAGCGAACGAGG
This 255-nucleotide ribosomal RNA is filed under the name uncultured bacterium. RNAcentral describes it as "partial 16S ribosomal RNA". It matches the Rfam family "Bacterial small subunit ribosomal RNA", at positions 524 to 777 of the family's 1533-position model. The record is from RNAcentral.